CCUACGGGGUGCAGCAGUAGGGAAUCUUUCACAAUGGGCGAAAGCCUGAUGGAGCAACGCCGCGUGCAGGAUGAAGGCCUUCGGGUUGUAAACUGCUUUUAUAAGCGAGAAAUAUGAUGGUAACUUAUGAAUAAGGAUCGGCUAACUACGUGCCAGCAGCCGCGGUCAUACGUAGGAUCCGAGCAUUAUCCGGAGUGACUGGGUGUAAAGAGUUGCGUAGGUGGCAUAAUAAGUAGCUAGUGAAAUCUGGUGGCUCAACCAUUCAGACUAUUAGCUAAACUGUUAAGCUCGAGACCGUUAGGGGUAACUGGAAUGUCUAGUGUAGGAGUGAAAUCCGUAGAUAUUAGAAGGAACACCAAUAGCGUAGGCAGGUUGCUGGGACGGUUCUGACACUAAGGCACGAAAGCGUAGGGAGCAAACGGGAUUAGAUACCCGAGUAGUC
Molecule: ribosomal RNA, 442 nt
Filed under: uncultured bacterium
Lineage: Bacteria
Description: partial 16S ribosomal RNA
Rfam family: Bacterial small subunit ribosomal RNA
Source: RNAcentral